RNAcentral lists this ribosomal RNA (497 nucleotides) under uncultured bacterium. RNAcentral's name for it is "partial 16S ribosomal RNA". It matches the Rfam family "Bacterial small subunit ribosomal RNA", at positions 28 to 507 of the family's 1533-position model. The record is from RNAcentral.
GAUGAACGCUGGCGGCGUGCCUAAUACAUGCAAGUCGAGCGAACAGACGAGGAGCUUGCUCCUCUGACGUUAGCGGCGGACGGGUGAGUAACACGUGGAUAACCUACCUAUAAGACUGGGAUAACUUCGGGAAACCGGAGCUAAUACUGGAUAAUCUAUUGAACCGCAUGGUUCAAUAGUGAAAGACGGUUUUGCUGUCACUUAUAGAUGGAUCCGCGCCGCAUUAGCUAGUUGGUAAGGUAACGGCUUACCAAGGCAACGAUGCAUAGCCGACCUGAGAGGGUGAUCGGCCACACUGGAACUGAGACACGGUCCAGACUCCUACGGGAGGCAGCAGUAGGGAAUCUUCCGCAAUGGGCGAAAGCCUGACGGAGCAACGCCGCGUGAGUGAUGAAGGUCUUCGGAUCGUAAAACUCUGUUAUUAGGGAAGAACAAAUGUGUAAGUAACUAUGCACGUCUUGACGGUACCUAAUCAGAAAGCCACGGCUAACUACGUG